Molecule: ribosomal RNA, 910 nt
Filed under: uncultured bacterium
Lineage: Bacteria
Description: bacterial SSU rRNA
Rfam family: Bacterial small subunit ribosomal RNA
Source: RNAcentral
ACGCUGGCGGCAGGCUUAACACAUGCAAGUCGAACGGUAACAGGAAUUAGCUUGCUAAUUUGCUGACGAGUGGCGGACGGGUGAGUAAUGCUUGGGAAUCUGGCUUAUGGAGGGGGAUAACUACGGGAAACUGUAGCUAAUACCGCGUAAAAUCUUCGGAUUAAAGGGUGGGACUUCCGAGCCACCUGCCAUAAGAUGAGCCCAAGUGGGAUUAGGUAGUUGGUUAGGUAAAGGCUGACCAAGCCGACGAUCUCUAGCUGGUCUGAGAGGAUGACCAGCCACACUGGAACUGAGACACGGUCCAGACUCCUACGGGAGGCAGCAGUGGGGAAUAUUGCACAAUGGGGGGAACCCUGAUGCAGCCAUGCCGCGUGAAUGAAGGAGGCCUUCGGGUUGUAAAGUUCCUUCGGUGACGAGGAAGGUUGAUAGGUUAAUAGCCUAUCAAAUUGACGUUAAUCACAGAAGAAGCACCGGCUAACUCCGUGCCAGCAGCCGCGGUAAUACGGGGGGUGCGAGCGUUAAUCGGAAUAACUGGGCGUAAAGGGCACGCAGGCGGUGACUUAAGUGAGAUGUGAAAGCCCCGAGCUUAACUUGGGAAUUGCAUUUCAUACUGGGUCGCUAGAGUACUUUAGGGAGGGGUAGAAUUCCACGUGUAGCGGUGAAAUGCGUAGAGAUGUGGAGGAAUACCGAAGGCGAAGGCAGCCCCUUGGGAAUGUACUGACGCUCAUGUGCGAAAGCGUGGGGAGCAAACAGGAUUAGAUACCCUGGUAGUCCACGCUGUAAACGAUGUCGAUUUGGGGAUUGGGCUUUGAGCUUGGUGCCCGUAGCUAACGUGAUAAAUCGACCGCCUGGGGAGUACGGCCGCAAGGUUAAAACUCAAAUGAAUUGACGGGGGCCCGCACAAGCGGUG